CCAUAAGAAUGGGAUAACUCCGGGAAACCGGGGGUAAUACCGGAUUACAUUCUGACCUGCAUGGUUCGAAAUUGAAAGGCGGGUUCGGCUGUCACUUAUGGAUGGACCCGCGUCGCAUUAGCUAGUUGGUGAGGUAACGGCUCACCAAGGCAACGAUGCGUAGCCGACCUGAGAGGGUGAUCGGCCACACUGGGACUGAGACACGGCCCAGACUCCUACGGGAGGCAGCAGUAGGGAAUCUUCCGCAAUGGACGAAAGUCUGACGGAGCAACGCCGCGUGAGUGAUGAAGGCUUUCGGGUCGUAAAACUCUGUUGUUAGGGUAGAACAAGUGCUAGU
RNAcentral lists this ribosomal RNA (337 nucleotides) under Bacillus sp. RKVR_B28. RNAcentral's name for it is "bacterial SSU rRNA". It matches the Rfam family "Bacterial small subunit ribosomal RNA", at positions 130 to 460 of the family's 1533-position model. The record is from RNAcentral. Lineage: Bacteria; Bacillati; Bacillota; Bacilli; Caryophanales; Bacillaceae.